RNAcentral lists this ribosomal RNA (460 nucleotides) under uncultured bacterium. RNAcentral's name for it is "partial 16S ribosomal RNA". It matches the Rfam family "Bacterial small subunit ribosomal RNA", at positions 338 to 795 of the family's 1533-position model. The record is from RNAcentral.
CCUACGGGCGGCAGCAGUGAGGAAUAUUGGUCAAUGGACGAGAGUCUGAACCAGCCAAGUAGCGUGAAGGAUGACUGCCCUAUGGGUUGUAAACUUCUUUUAUAUGGGAAUAAAAUGUUCCACGUGUGGGAUUUUGUAUGUACCAUAUGAAUAAGGAUCGGCUAACUCCGUGCCAGCAGCCGCGGUAAUACGGAGGAUCCGAGCGUUAUCCGGAUUUAUUGGGUUUAAAGGGAGCGUAGGUGGAUUGUUAAGUCAGUUGUGAAAGUUUGCGGCUCAACCGUAAAAUUGCAGUUGAAACUGGCAGUCUUGAGUACAGUAGAGGUGGGCGGAAUUCGUGGUGUAGCGGUGAAAUGCUUUGAUAUCACGAAGAACUCCGAUUGCGAAGGCAGUUCACUGGACUGCAACUGACACUGAGGCUCGAAAGUGUGGGUAUCAAACAGGAUUAGAUACCCUUGUAGUC